UACGUAGGGACCGAGCGUUGUCCGGAAUCAUUGGGCGUAAAGAGCGUGUAGGCGGCCAACUAAGUCCUGCGUGAAAUCUCGGGGCUCAACCCCGAGCGGUCGUGGGAAACUGGUUGGCUAGAGUGCGGGAGAGGAGAGUGGAAUUCCUGGUGUAGCGGUGAAAUGCGCAGAUAUCAGGAAGAACACCCGUGGCGAAGGCGGAUCUCUGGGCCUUACCUGACGCUGAGGCGCGAAAGCUAGGGGAGCGAACAGG
RNAcentral lists this ribosomal RNA (253 nucleotides) under uncultured bacterium. RNAcentral describes it as "partial 16S ribosomal RNA". It matches the Rfam family "Bacterial small subunit ribosomal RNA", at positions 524 to 776 of the family's 1533-position model. The record is from RNAcentral.